AUGUGAGAUGCAGUGUAUGGAAUGUCAAAUUUCUAGUAUGAGAAAUUAAUGAUUUAAGUCCUUCUUAAAUGAGGCCAUUUACCCAAAGAGGGUGCCAGGCCCGUAUAACAUUAAUGAUUACUAGAUGAUAUUUCCAAAGAGUCGUGUUGCUUGAUAGUGCAGCACUAAGUGGGUGGUAAACUCCAUCUAAAACUAAAUAUAACCAUGAGACCGAUAGUAAACAAGUACCGUGAGGGAAAGUUGAAAAGAACUCUGAAUAGAGAGUUAAAUAGUACGUGAAACUGCUUAGAGGUUAAGCCCGAUGAACUUGAAUAUCCAUUAUAGAAAAUUCAUCAUCAUGAUUUUAAUAUUUAUAAAAUAUUAAAUUAAUGGUGUGCAUUUUUUCUAUAUAAGGACAUUGUAAUCUAUUAACAUAACAUACAUAUAUUUAUUAAAAGAUCAAUUGGCACAAGUUUAUUUAAAUUAUUUUGCUUGCAAUUUAACAUAAAAUAAAUGCUAUUGAUUUGAUAAAGUGUUGAUAGAUUUAUUAUUAUAUAGUGCUUAAAUAUAAUUAUAUAUAUUUUAUAAUAGCAUAUUUAUCAUUGAUAUUUAUGUUUAUUAUAUGCACUUAUAUGAUUAACAAUGCGAAAGAUUCAGGAUACCUUCGGGACCCGUCUUGAAACACGGACCAAGGAGUCUAACAUAUUUGCAAGUUAUUGGGAAUUAAAAACCUAAUAGCAUAAUUAACAUAACUUUAUUUUAAUGGGAUUAGUUAUAUAGUACUAUUUUUAUAAUAGUCUAUUAAUUCAAUCCCGGGGCGUUCUAAGGUUAUAUAUAAUAAUAUUUAUAUUAUUUAUAUCUCUAACCAGAGCGUACCUUGAGCAUAUAUGCUGUGACCCGAAAGAUGGUGAACUAUACUUGAUCAGGUUGAAGUCAGGGGAAA
RNAcentral lists this ribosomal RNA (922 nucleotides) under Miltogramma nuda. RNAcentral describes it as "eukaryotic LSU rRNA". It matches the Rfam family "Eukaryotic large subunit ribosomal RNA", at positions 136 to 861 of the family's 3401-position model. Lineage: Eukaryota; Metazoa; Arthropoda; Insecta; Diptera; Sarcophagidae. The record is from RNAcentral.